Molecule: ribosomal RNA, 253 nt
Filed under: uncultured bacterium
Lineage: Bacteria
Description: partial 16S ribosomal RNA
Rfam family: Bacterial small subunit ribosomal RNA
Source: RNAcentral
UACGAAGGGGGCUAGCGUUGUUCGGAAUCACUGGGCGUAAAGCGCACGUAGGCGGAUUCUUAAGUCGGUGGUGAAAUCCCAAGGCUCAACCUUGGAAUUGCCUUCGAUACUGGGAAUCUUGAGUAUGGUAGAGGUUGGUGGAACUGCGAGUGUAGAGGUGAAAUUCGUAGAUAUUCGCAAGAACACCAGUGGCGAAGGCGGCCAACUGGACCAUAACUGACGCUGAGGUGCGAAAGCGUGGGGAGCAAACAGG